GGAUUAGAUACCCUGGUAGUCCACGCUGUAAACGAUGAGUACUAGCUAUUAGAGUCGGUGUAAAGGCUUUAGUGGCAUAGCUAACGCAAUAAGUACUCCGCCUGGGGACUACGGCCGCAAGGCUAAAACUCAAAGGAAUUGACGGGGACCCGCACAAGCGGUGGAGCAUGUGGUUUAAUUCGAUGCAACGCGAAAAACCUUACCUGGUCUUGACAUCCACAGAAUUUUCCAGAAAUGGAUUAGUGCCUUCGGGAACUGUGUGACAGGUGCUGCAUGGCUGUCGUCAGCUCGUGCCG
RNAcentral lists this ribosomal RNA (296 nucleotides) under uncultured bacterium. RNAcentral describes it as "partial 16S ribosomal RNA". It matches the Rfam family "Bacterial small subunit ribosomal RNA", at positions 775 to 1067 of the family's 1533-position model. The record is from RNAcentral.